GACGAACGCUGGCGGCGUGCCUAAUACAUGCAAGUCGAACGAAGGCGGCCGGUACUUGCAUUGUUUAAUUUAGAGUCGCACGGGUGUGUAUCACGUGUAUAACCUCCGCCCCAGAGGGGGAUACCAUCGUGAGACGGGAGCUAUAACCGCAUAGGCCUUCGAACCGCAGGGUUGGGGGAGGAAAAAAGGUGCACGCUUCUUCUAAUCGAUCACCCAGGGGUGGGUUUGCGAGUUGGUGAGGUAACGGCGAGCCAAGGGCUUGAUGGAUAGCCGACCUGUGGGGGGGAUCGGCCACAUUGGAACUGAGACACGGCCCAAACUCCUACGGGAGGCAGCAGUAGGGAACUUUCGGCAAGGGCGGAAAGCCUGACGGAGAAACGCCGCGUGAGUGAAGAAGGUGUUCGGUUCGUAAAACCUGUUUAUUGGGGAGGAACAACUGCUUGAGUAACUGUUGACGGAUUGACGGUACCUAAAUAGAAAGCCACGGCUAACUACGUG
Molecule: ribosomal RNA, 498 nt
Filed under: uncultured bacterium
Lineage: Bacteria
Description: partial 16S ribosomal RNA
Rfam family: Bacterial small subunit ribosomal RNA
Source: RNAcentral